AUGUUGUGCUCCCAAUACUUUGUUUCUGAUAUAUUUCAUUACAGUCGCUCUGUAGAUUUAUACUCUGCUGGAGAUUGGUUUUAUUAUAUUGUUUGUUGUACAAUGUCCUGGUGUCAUCUCCCAUCUAAGAUACAGUCUUUUUAUCACCAACGGACUGCCCCCAUCUUGGCUGCAUUAAUCAUGCGAAAUUAACACUUCCGCAUAAAUGUCAGUCUCCCCCCAAUUGAAUGACGGAUACUGGCUGCUGGAGGAUAUAAGUGGAUGCGUAUUAUAUGGGAUGACAUAUGGUCCCUUAGAGCAGCCAUUUUGCAUUAGCUAAACGGUUACUCGAAUAUCCAUGACUUCCUCUGCUUUUAGAAGAGAUCAUAGAGUGAGGAACGUGUAUGUGCACUCUGUUCUGGGCUGCCUAAUGUCAAUUCUGUGCAAAACUUCUGUCUGUUAUCAGUGCUCACUGCACAACGACAGACGUAAGCAGCUUCCCUGCCUUGGUGGGCUCCAAUCCUCCCCGCCUCCCUACAUUCAGCUUAAUUUACCACCACCCCAGUCCACUCCAUCUGUCCUCCUUGUCUCCCUCUGUCCUCCCUCCCCAGAUCAGAGCAUGUGCAUGCGCGCUGAGCUUGGAGAUUGGUCCUGUCCAAUGCUUCUAUGAGAGGUAUUUGAUUGGAUCACAAUGAUUAUAGAGAGGGAAGGCAAGACGGGGAGUGGAGAGCAGCGAGGGGAGGUUUGCCCAAUACUGGAUUACAGGCAAGUUUAAUGUUUUUGUUAUAGGUUUAUAAGGGCAUGGGAAUAAAUAAUGCCCAAUAUGGCAGUUUAAUUUAAGAUUACGAUAAUAAUAUAAAAAGCCGCACUUUGAAAACGGUACUCAAGAUUGGGUUAUUCAGUAAAGUGAGAAUUCAAAGUGAAUUUCAAAUUUAUGGUCAAAUAUCUGAACUGGAAACGUUUGCUAACUCAGAGAGAAUUCCAGUUUGGCUUCUCUGGCGUUAAAUCUGAAAUUUACUUUGUAUUCUCACCUCAGUGACUAUCCCUGUCUGUGCUGCCAUGUCGCUGACCUUGUGGUAUAAUCAGCAGUAACCGUAUAUUGUGUGUAUUCUGCCUCCCACCAGAUCCAGUGCAGGAUGCAAGAUAAGACACAGGCCAUAUGGUAUCCGGCAGCAGAUUGCUAAAAGGUUUCACAGUCUGCAGCACUGAACCAAUCAGAUCCAUUUCCUAUUAAAAGUACCUCGUUUUUAUUAAAG
This is a non-coding RNA of Pelobates cultripes (western spadefoot toad), 1235 nucleotides long. Lineage: Eukaryota; Metazoa; Chordata; Amphibia; Anura; Pelobatidae. The record is from the annotation of a GenBank genome assembly.